UCGACCCGUACGGGAGAGUCCCGUCCCAGGGCGCCGAAGGGGCAAUUCCUCCCCGGAACCUCUCAGGCCACAGGACCGUACGUCACAG
This 88-nucleotide non-coding RNA is filed under the name Aeromicrobium choanae. RNAcentral describes it as "Glycine sequence". It matches the Rfam family "Glycine riboswitch aptamer". Rfam says of the family: This family represents the bacterial glycine riboswitch. The record is from RNAcentral. Lineage: Bacteria; Bacillati; Actinomycetota; Actinomycetes; Propionibacteriales; Nocardioidaceae.